This 301-nucleotide ribosomal RNA is filed under the name uncultured bacterium. RNAcentral's name for it is "partial 16S ribosomal RNA". It matches the Rfam family "Bacterial small subunit ribosomal RNA", at positions 509 to 807 of the family's 1533-position model. The record is from RNAcentral.
CAGCCGCCGCGGUAAUACGUAGGGUGCAAGCGUUAAUCGGAAUUACUGGGCGUAAAGCGUGCGCAGGCGGUUAUAUAAGUCAGAUGUGAAAUCCCCGGGCUCAACCUGGGAACUGCAUUUGAGACUGUAUGGCUAGAGUGUGUCAGAGGGGGGUAGAAUUACACGUGUAGCAGUGAAAUGCGUAGAGAUGUGGAGGAAUACCGAUGGCGAAGGCAGCCCCCUGGGCCAAUACUGACGCUCAUGCACGAAAGCGUGGGGAGCAAACAGGAUUAGAUAACCCGGUAGUCCCUGUCUCUUAUAC